RNAcentral lists this ribosomal RNA (377 nucleotides) under uncultured bacterium. Its description in RNAcentral is "bacterial SSU rRNA". It matches the Rfam family "Bacterial small subunit ribosomal RNA", at positions 521 to 896 of the family's 1533-position model. The record is from RNAcentral.
UAAUACAGAGGGUGCAAGCGUUAAUCGGAAUUACUGGGCGUAAAGGGCGCGUAGGCGGAUUUGUAAGUUAUGUGUGAAAUCUCUGGGCUUAACCUGGGAACUGCACAUAAUACUGUAAGUCUAGAGUAGAGUAGAGGAAAGUGGAAUUUCCGGUGUAGCGGUGAAAUGCGUAGAUAUCGGAAGGAACACCAGUGGCGAAGGCGGCUUUCUGGACUCAUACUGACGCUGAGGCGCGAAAGCGUGGGGAGCAAACAGGAUUAGAUACCCUGGUAGUCCAUGCUGUAAACGAUGAAGACUAGAUGUUGCUGGGAUAAAACUUGGCAGUAUCGAAGCAAACGCGAUAAGUCUUCCGCCUGGGGAGUACGGUCGCAAGAUUA